This 439-nucleotide ribosomal RNA is filed under the name uncultured bacterium. Its description in RNAcentral is "partial 16S ribosomal RNA". It matches the Rfam family "Bacterial small subunit ribosomal RNA", at positions 339 to 795 of the family's 1533-position model. The record is from RNAcentral.
CUACGGGAGGCUCCAGUGAGGAAUAUUGCACAAUGGGGGGAACCCUGACGCAGCAACGCCGCGUGGAGGAUGACGCAUUUCGGUGUGUAAACUCCAUUUAUACGUCAAGAAAAUGACGGUAGCAUAUGAAUAAGCACCGGCUAACUCCGUGCCAGCAGCCGCGGUAAUACGGAGGGUGCAAGCGUUACUCGGAAUCACUGGGCGUAAAGGACGCGUAGGCGGGUUGGAAAGUCAGGUGUGAAAUCCUACAGCUUAACUGUAGAACUGCACUUGAAACUUCUAAUCUAGAGUAUGGGAGGGGGAGAUGGAAUUAGUGGUGUAGGGGUAAAAUCCGUAGAUAUCACUAGGAAUACCUAAAGCGAAGGCGAUCUCCUGGAACAUUACUGACGCUAAGGCGUGAAAGCGUGGGGAGCAAACAGGAUUAGAUACCCGCGUAGUC